GACCUGGCCGGGCGGUCCGCCUAACGGCGUGUACUGUCUGGCCGGGCCUUACCUCUUGGUGAGCCUUCAUGCCCUUAAUUGGGUGUGUCGGGGAACCAGGACGUUUACCUUGAGAAAAUUAGAGUGUUCAAAGCAGGCCUAUGCCCGAAUACAUUAGCAUGGAAUAAUGAAAUAGGACGUGCGGUUCUAUUUUGUUGGUUUCUAGAGUCGCCGUA
This 215-nucleotide ribosomal RNA is filed under the name uncultured fungus. RNAcentral describes it as "partial small subunit ribosomal RNA". The stretch from base 91 to 215 matches the Rfam family "Eukaryotic small subunit ribosomal RNA", at positions 738 to 864 of the family's 1831-position model. The record is from RNAcentral. Lineage: Eukaryota; Fungi.